This is a long non-coding RNA of Carcharodon carcharias (great white shark), 220 nucleotides long. RefSeq lists it as uncharacterized. The record is from RefSeq and is a predicted model, not a curated record. NCBI's taxonomy places the organism in Eukaryota, Metazoa, Chordata, Chondrichthyes, Lamniformes, Lamnidae. The transcript is spliced from 3 exons.
CCUUCACCAUCAUGAUCCAGAAGAUGAUUAUGGGAGAUUUGUUGCGAUUUUGCUGGUUAAUGUUUAUGGUUCUUCUAGGAUUCACCGCAGCGUUCUACGUCAACUUCCAAACCCUGGAGCCGGAGUCUUGGCCACAUUUCCGCGACUUCAGUAUGUGCCUCUUCACCAUGUUCCAGCUCUUCCUGGGACUGCUGGACAUCCCCAUCAACUAUGAAAAGUU